AAAAUUUAAUAGAUACUUUAUUAAAAAUGAUCCAUUUAAUGAUUAAAAAUUAAGAAAAAUACUGAGUUAAAUCUUUUAUAAAUAUCUUUAAUUUAUAUGUACUUAUUUACACUUGUGCUUCUUUUAAUUUUCCAAUUUUGUUAUAUUUUACUUAUCAGAGAUUGUAAUUUUUCCUAUUGUCAGAAUAUACAUGUUUGCUUGGUUUCGAACAUAUUUCGAGGGGUUUUAAUGUCUCUUUCACUUUGAUAUAUUAAAACACAUUUAAUCUUCACAACAACCUCAUGAAAUAGUUCUGUUGUUACCUUGCCAAAGAUUAUACACCUAAAAUAUGUCAGAGUUGAAAUUAUAAGAAUCUGGCUCCUGACCAUUGGCUUUGUCCCAGUAUACAGUAAUGGGUCUCUGAUAUUUGAUCUUUGAUAUAUGGACAGUAAUAGCAUUUAAUACUAAUGAUCUGUUCUUUUUGCACGUCUGCCUCAGUUUUGGAAGAAUAGUUUUGAUACAAUACUUUUUUAGCUGUAUUCAUUUCCAUCUCACAUAUGCUGUGGCCCCUGUAUGCUUGCCUGUUCGAAGUGUCUGUGAACUUUUGACCUAGUACUCUAAGGACAAAUUGUUUGGUAGGACAUUCUUAGGUCACAUUUUUCUCAGAACCUUGAGACAUUGCUUCAUUGUCUUCUGGCACUAAAGGUUGAAAUGGAAAAGUCUGAAGCCAGCCUAAUGAUUUUCCAUUGUCAAGGUCACUUACUUUUCCUCCCUGCAGGCUCAUAAUACGUUUUCUAGACUUUGAAUCUCAGUAACAUCACAAAUGAUGACUUGACCUUUACAUUUGUAUCAGUCUUUCCAGGAGAAGAAAACACAUUUUUUAAAAUUGUAGAUUAAUUGAUCAUCUUAAUUUCAGGGCAAAUCCCCGCUAGCAUAUGAAUUUUUAUUUCUGUUGAAUUCAUUGUAAUCGUUUUUUUCUGGAAUAAUAAUAAAGUUGUAUUGAAACUCAUUUUGGUUUGUUCCAUCAUCAUCAUUUUUCUCUCUAGUCUGUUGUUCACUAUUUUACCCUUUUCUGUAUAUUUUCUUAACUUUCUUACCCUUCCCAAUACCUUACCGCCACAUCAAUAGGGUUUCAAUAUAAAAACAACAAAUAACAAGUAAGAGCCAUAGACCCUACUUAGGGAAACCCAAAGGUAACAGGAAUUAAAAAAAAAAAACUGACAAAGAAACUAGAGAAAAUUGAAGCUUGUGCACCUACAGUUAUGGUAAACAUUAAACACAACCCAACUUGUAGCCAGAUUAACAUAAAACUUCACACUAAAAGCUUAAUUAAUUCAGUGCCUAAUAACCAAUACAUAUGUCUAGAUUUCAACAAAAAAUUACAAGGCAUUCUAAAAAACAAACCAAAAAAAUCUGACAAAGACAAAGCAAAACAAGUAACAAUAUGACUGUGAUAUGACAUAAAAUUUGAGGUUAUCAGAUAUUUAAAACAAUUAUGUUUACUUUGUUAAAGACUGUAUUGGAAAAAAGUCGACAAACUUGCAAGAAUAAAUGGGUAAUGUAAACAGAGGAUAGAAACUCCGAGAAUGAGUCAAAAGGAAAUUCUGGAAAUCACAGACACUGUAAUAGACAUGAAUAAUACUUUUGAUGCGCUUAUUAGCAGCCUAAACACGGCAAAGAAAAGAAGCAUUGAGCCUGAAGAUAUUCCAGUAGAAACUUCCAAAAGUGAAGUGCAAAGAGUAAAAAAAAAAUAUGUUAAAGAGACAGAAUGUGCAAGAAAUGUGGGAGAAUCACAAAAGGUAUAACAUAUGUAUAAUGGAAACAUCAGAAGGAAAGGAAGGACAGAAAGGGGCAGAAAAGGUAUUUGAAGUACUAAUAAUAGAAUUGUCCACAAUUAUUUAUAGAUGUCAAACUACAGACUCAAGAAACUUGGAGAACAACAAGCAGGAUAGAUACCCAAUAAAAUCUACACAUAGGCAAACAGCAGAAAACCAAAUACAAAGAGAAAAUCUUGAAAAAAUUCUUACACUGUAGAGGAAACAUCUUUUGAGGAAUGAGAAUUAUAUUCGACUUUUAGUCAGAAACCAUGCUGCCAAGAAGAUACUGGAAUGAAAUAUUUAAAGUUUUGAGGGGAAGAUACCCCAAGUCCUAGAAUUUUGUAUUUGUUUAAUAUAUAUUUCAAAAGUGAAGGAGAAAUAAACACAUUUUUAGCCAAAUGUAAACUGAGGAAAUCUAUUUUCUGUGGAUCUGCCUUGCAAGAAAUUUUGAAAGAAGUUUAGAGAGAAGGUGAUAUAGGUCAGAAACUUGGAUUACUUAAAGAUAGGAAGAGCAUAUAAGAAAAGGAAGAUAAACAAUAUCUUUUAUUUAUCUUACUCUUUAUUUAAUAGAUAAUGGUUUGUUUAAAUAAUCAUAGCAGUACUGUUUUAGGUGAUUACAGCAUAUGUACAAGUAAAAUAAAUGACAGCAAUUUAUAAAGGAUGGAAGGAAGGAGUUGGGAAUACUCUGCAUACAGCAGUUUUAUUUAUAAUCACUCAAAACUGGAAGCAGCCCUCUAAAGGUGAAUGUAUAAACAGUGGUAUAGCCAUACAAUGGACAUUAUCUAAUAAUUUUUUUUUAAAUUGGCCAUAAAGAAUCUUGGAAGAAAGGUGAAUACAUAUUGCUAAAUGAAAGAACCCAAUCUUAAAAGUCUAUGUAUUGUCUGAUUACAACCAAAUGACGUUCUGGAAAAGGGGUAUCUAUGGAGACAGUGAAGAGAUCAGUGGUUGCCAAGAGUUUAGAGAGAGUGGGUUGGGAUUAAGAAGUGAAGCAAACAGGAUUUCUAAGGCAGAGAAAAUAAUCUGUGUGUUGUUGUGAUGGUAGAUACAUGACAUUAUGAAUUUGCUAAAACCUAUGGCGUUGUACAGCGUAAAUGGUGAACCAUAAUGCAAACUAUGGACUUUGGUAAAUAACAUUGUGUUAAUAUUGGUACAUCUUUUGCCAAUGUUCACACUAAUGCAAGGUAUUAAGAAUAGAGGAAAUGUAUGCCAGGGAUAGGAUAGGGUAACAUGAAAAUCUUUGUACCACUUGCUCAAUUUUUCUAUAAAUCCAAAACCACUCAAAAAAUUAAAUAUUCAGUCCUUUCAUUUCCAAUAAAAGAUUAAUAGCUUAAAGGUCCCAUAAAAAAGAUUAAUAUAUUAAUUUACUCACUAAUUGGCCCUAUUUUUAUGUGUCUGUUCUACCUCAGAGUAUAUAGCUACUUGGAAUAUAUAGCUUGACAGAAUUCUGAUGUAGAAAGAACCUAGACUAUAUACACAGUAUUUUACCAGAUUAAAGAUCAACCAUGUUUUAAAAUGAGGUAAAUGUUAUGAUGGGUCCUACCUCUCCCACUGUUCCUACUUUCGUCAUGGAUGGGUUCCUACAUUAAUCUUCAGGAAUAACCCACACACUGUGUACAUUAUAUACCAAGUCGAGAAAUUUCAUCUCCUUCACAAAUAUUUGCUAAGGGAAAACAUUUGAAAUCAAAAGAGGCUUUUAUCAGAGCAGGAAGCUGGGUCACACAGUACAUUCAUGAUGUUCUUGGUAGAGAAUAUUUUCUAACUUUUAAGGUCUAUACAUGCAUAUAAAUGCCAGAAGUCUUAACACUUCCCUCCCAAGUUUUGGAAAUCUGAUGUUUGUUGGCUCUGCUACAAUUAAGAUCUAGUCUUCUCUUGGCUGAAGUUACUUUAUGUUGUCUAACUUGGUUAAAUCACUUGUUCUGGACUGAAUAAGUUAAUUCAUGUACUUGUUUAUAAGGUGAUAUAUUUUUCAUCUUGGCCUCCACAGCAGUAUAGGUGAAUUGGCUGUUUGCUCCAAACUUGAUUCUGAUCCCAGAAUGUCACCCAGCUUUCGCUCUUUCUGUGUUUCUAACGUUAAUUUUACUCUGGUGUUUGCAGCUUCACAUAGCAUUCAGUAUAGCUUUUAUAAGUUGCUAUUAAAAUUGUUCUUUCUUGUCUCAUAGGUUCCACAGUUAUAUUCAUUUUUAAAACUUUGUUUCUUUAUUUAGUUGCCAAAAUGAUUGACAAAAAAAUAUAAUAAAAAAAUAUACCUAGGAAAAAAGUAAAAAUGAUGUUUUAGAAAGUUUAUUAAUAAUUGAUGAAAAUUUUUAAAAGCAACCAUGUAAUAUAUUAGAUAGUAUGGACACCAAACCAAAAGAUUUAAUUCUAUUUAGUCUUUUUUUUAAAUUAUGAUUUCAAAUACCAAGUAAAUACCUCAAAGAAUCAGAAAUGCUUCUCUUUACAGAGAAAAUAUAGAACAUCUGUUUAUGACAGCUAAAGAUGUCUCCCAUUAAAGGACUAUAAAAUUUAUAUUUCUACUUAAUGUGUUGCUCUAAGUUUCUUUAAAUUGUCUACUGUGCAUCUUUUAUACUGUAGUUAUUUAAAAAAUCUUCUGAUAGCAUGGUUGAUAUCUAUAAUGAAGAAAUGACUCUGUGCUUAGAAUGAAAUAGAAAAAUAUUAACAUAUCUAAAAUAGUGGGGAGUUUUUGUUUUGGUUUGGGGGGGUUGUUUUUUUCAUUUUUUUAUUUUUGCUUUUUAGGACCACUGGUAUGGCGUAUGGAAGUCCCCAGGUUAGGGGUCCAAUCGGAGCUGCAGCUGUAGGCCUAUACCACAGCCGCAAAAUGCCAGAUCCAAGGCAUGGUCUGUGAUCUACGUCACAGCUCAUGGCAACACUGGAUUUUAACCCACCAAGUGAAGCCAGGGAUCGAACCCACAUCCUCAUGGUUGCUAGUUAGGUUCGUUUACACUGAGACAGGAGCUCCUGAAAUAUGUUUUCUGAUAUGGCCUAGUGCCUCUCCAACUUGACCUUAUCCUACCAUGUUCCCUGUUCACCAAAGUACAGCCAUAUCAGUCAUUCACUGCCCCCAAAACCUUGUGUUCUUUCCUAAUUCACAUGCUUCCCCAUAGUUCCCUUUGUCUUAUUUGCACUUUCCUAUCACCACCAAUCAUUUAUGUCUGGGGAGGCCUUCCUAACUCCCUAAACUCAAAAGCCUUCUUCUUCUUCUUCUUAUUCUCUAUAACAUCUUGCCUUAUUUUUCCACAUUUCUUAUUGAAUAUUUUGUAUUUAUUUAUCAUUAAAUUUAACUUCCAGAAAACUGGAUUUCCAUGGAAGCAUAAAUUAAAUUUUAUUUCCCUGCCAUCAGAUACGCAUUGCAUAGCUCUGUGUCUGGAACAAAGGAAGACUCCAAUUAAUGUUUGCGAAUAAAGAAAUUAUAAUUUCAAAAUUGAUAUUGUGUGUCCCGUCAGGACAUUCAGUUUUACUGAGUUGACUUAGUAUGGAAAUAUAAUACUAAUACAAAUUAGUAUAGAAAUAUCUGGAAUCUAACUAAAGAGCACCUGGGUUACUGUCUCCUGAUAUGGUCAAAAUGCUAUUUUGGAAAGAGUACUAGGUCCUGGUGAUUCUUCAGUACACCUUGUGCCAGUCCUUGAGUUGUUACCACUUACUGACCAUUUGGUUGACUGACACACAAUUCUGCCACUCAAUGGGUAAUUAUUGUUGGGUUUUUCAGUAUUUCAUAAGAAGCUUUCUUUCAUUCAAGAAGUCUUUAGUCCUGAUAUGCCAGGAUCCUGUAGGUCUUAGGGAACAAAAAUUAAUAAACGGGAGUUCCCGUUGUGACGCCACAGGAUAAGAGCACAACAGGGUGUCCCUGAGGAUGUGGGUUCCAUCCCUGGCCUUGCUCAGUGGAUUAAGGAUCUGGCACUGUCACAGUUGAGAUGUAGGUUGUGGAUGUGGCUCAGAUCUGGUGUUGCUAUGGCUGUGACAUAGGCUGGUAGCUGCAGCUCCAAUUUGACCCCUAGCUUGGGAACUUCCAUA
RNAcentral lists this long non-coding RNA (5804 nucleotides) under Sus scrofa (pig). RNAcentral describes it as "lncRNA (ENSSSCG00000057075.1)". The record is from RNAcentral. Lineage: Eukaryota; Metazoa; Chordata; Mammalia; Artiodactyla; Suidae.